This is a long non-coding RNA of Cyprinus carpio (common carp), 462 nucleotides long. RefSeq lists it as uncharacterized. The record is from RefSeq and is a predicted model, not a curated record. The transcript is spliced from 3 exons. NCBI's taxonomy places the organism in Eukaryota, Metazoa, Chordata, Actinopteri, Cypriniformes, Cyprinidae.
GUAUAAGCUUCAGGACUGUGUGGGCCAGAAAAUAGCUUAAAUUAGACUCGGUGGACCUUCGCAAUGAAAACACUUCACAAUGAGCGAAGGACACUUACUGCAAGGUUAGAGCCUCUGCCGUGUCUUCAUUUACCUUAAUCUUCAUCAAGGAUGAUUCUUCAGCUUGAAGACUGGCUCAAUGGGACUCUGCAGCAGCUGGGAAUCAAAGGACAUGCCGUGGAAAAACUUCUGGCUUUGGAAUAGCUCUAGGCGCCGUAAGCGACGUGCGGGGAUCUUGCACAGAGAUAUAUUCAAACAUGAUAAGAGAGUUUUAAAAAGACAGCUUCGAAUAUUUGCACAACAGGGUUAUAUGCCAUUCAGAUUUGAAGGAGGUAGAUAAAAAAUGUAAAGAAACUAAUUUAAAUGAGGUGUAUUUUUUUAUUAUACAUUUUUAGUAUGAAUUACCUAUAAAUUAAUAUUUUA